GCGCCAGCCACCGUCCGCGAGGCCUUGGCGCGCCCGUGACGUCACUGUCGUGCGCCUCUCCCGCAGCAAGGGGAAUAUGGCUCUAGCACGGCGGCUGCGGCUGUUGUUGCUCGCGGCUCGGUUGCUUCUGGCGCCUCGCCGGGACCUGACGGUCCGCGGUCCCAACGAGCCCCUGCCCAUGGUGCGCAUCCCGCGGGCUCUACAGCGGCGGCAGGAAGAGCGGCAGAGCGGGCAGCGGAGCCUCCCGCGGCUGGUGCUGGUGCGACCUGGGCCGCUGCUGAUCUCAGCGAGGCGACCGGAGUUGAACCAGCCGGCACGCCUCACGCUGGGCCCUUGGGAGCCCGCGCCACUCGCUUCGCGCAGCUGGAGGAAUCGGCGCGCCCACGGGGACCAUUUCUCCAUCGAGCGCGCGCAACAUGAGGCUCCGGCGCUGCGGAACCUCUCGCCCAAGGGCAGCUUCACCAAUCUGAGUCUGGAGCUCCGCGUUCUGAGCGCACUACAAGAGGCUGCUCCCGAAGUUGUUCGGCCCACAACCGUGCAGUCGAGUACCAUUCCCCCACAUCUUCGCGGCCGCCACAUCCUCUGCGCCGCAGAAACCGGCAGUGGCAAAACUCUCGGCUACAUGCUACCUCUCCUUCAACGGCUCUUGGGCCAGCCAAGCCUGGACCCCUGUCGUAUCCCUGCUCCUCGAGGCCUGGUUCUUGUGCCUUCUCGAGAAUUAGCUAAACAGGUGCGGGCCGUGGCCCAGCCCUUGGGCAGCUCCUUGGGCCUCCAGGUGCGGGAGUUAGGGGGAGGCCAUGGCAUGAGUAGGAUUAGGCUGCAACUGUCCAAACAACCUCCAGCAGAUAUACUAGUGGCCACUCCUGGGGCUCUGUGGAAGGCCCUGAAAACUCAACUGGUCAGCCUGGAGCAGCUGUCCUUCUUGGUGUUGGAUGAGGCAGACACGCUGUUGGAUGAAAGCUUCCUGGAACUGGUGGAUUACAUCUUGGAGGGGAGCCAUAUAGCAGAAGGCCCAGCUGACUUAAAAGACCCCUUCAAUCCCAAAGCUCAGUUAGUGCUGGUGGGGGCCACAUUUCCCAAAGGUGUAGGCCAGCUGCUGAGUAAAGUUGCCAACUUAGACUCUCUAACUACCGUUACCAGUGACAAGCUCCACUGCAUCAUGCCUCAUGUCAGGCAGACAUUCAUGAGGCUGAAGGGAACAGAGAAGGUGACUGGCUUGGUGCAGAUCCUCAAGCAGCAUGACAGAGCAUAUAGGACUGGCCCCGCAGGAACUGUUCUGGUGUUCUGUAAUUGCUCCAGCACUGUGAACUGGCUGGGGUAUAUUCUGGAUGACCACAAAAUCCAACACUUAAGACUGCAGGGACAGAUGCCAGCCUCAAUGAGAGCAGGCAUCUUCCAGUCCUUCCAGAAGGGCUCCCGAGACAUACUUCUCUGCACAGACAUCGCCUCUCGGGGCCUGGACAGCACCCAGGUGGAGCUAGUCAUCAAUUAUGAUUUCCCUCUCACCCUGCAAGACUACAUCCACAGAGCAGGGAGGGUGGGCCGGGUGGGGAGCGAGGUGCCAGGCACCGUCGUCAGCUUUGUGACCCAUCCCUGGGACGUGAGCCUGGUUCAGAAGAUUGAGCUGGCAGCUCGCCGGAGGAGAAGCCUUCCAGGACUAGGGUCCUCCUCAGUGACAGAGCCUUCGCACCAGCAAACCUUAUUGCAGCAGGCUUAUAUAUGAUGCCACAACAGGGACCUUUCCCUCUGUGCUGGAUGGGUAAGCACACUUGUCAGUAGGGUGCUCUGGGCUGCCUAGUCACCUUCUGAAGGCCCGGGCUGCUGUCUGGCUUCAAAAGCAGCAGUGGCUCCCGUUUCUCUUCCUAUACCUGGUCACUACCGUGUCCUCAACCGAGGGUGUGGAGAAACGCAGUUGGGCUGGCAUGGGGAGACAUACUGCCUGGUUGGUGGCUACCGGGCCUACGGGGAUGUUCCUUUGGCCACGCCAGAAAAGGUGGAAGCAGAGAAGCCAGUCGCCAGACGUGCUCCCUAGAGAAAGUGCCCUCCGGAAGAGUCGGACGAAGACCUGGGUUGCCCCAGACCCAAACUCCGGCGAUUGCAGCAUUCAAGCAGUUUAGGACUAGAAGAUGCUUUGAUUCUCAAGCAGCGUGGCCCAACCUCUGGGCACAUCCCCUCUGCAACAGCCCCAGUACACGAGUGUCCCAUCUUUGCUUUUUCAAGGUCGGCAACAGGGAGUCCCCUCCUAAAGAAGGUUCUCUCUCAUUGCCACACUCUCAAAGGCUGCCCCCAAUGUGGUUCCUUCCUGUGGGCCUGAUCAGGCUAAGGGCAGAGUUGUCUCUUUCCUUCUCUGAGUCGGACCAAAUCGUCUUAGUAACACCUCUUCACAGUGUUGACCAUGUGUUUCACGGGGGCUGCUGCUGAGCCUUUAUCUCAUCCUUUCAUGGUGGAGAGAGAGAGGAUUAUAA
This is an RNA transcript of Balaenoptera musculus (blue whale), 2465 nucleotides long. It is a transcript of the gene named DEAD-box helicase 28, with no coding region annotated. Lineage: Eukaryota; Metazoa; Chordata; Mammalia; Artiodactyla; Balaenopteridae. The record is from RefSeq and is a predicted model, not a curated record. The transcript has 2 exons.